GACGAACGCUGGCGGCGUGCUUAACACAUGCAAGUCGAACGGAAAGGCCCUGCUUUUGUGGGGUGCUCGAGUGGCGAACGGGUGAGUAACACGUGAGUAACCUGCCCUUGACUUUGGGAUAACUUCAGGAAACUGGGGCUAAUACCGGAUAGGAGCUCCUGCUGCAUGGUGGGGGUUGGAAAGUUUCGGCGGUUGGGGAUGGUCUCGCGGCUUAUCAGCUUGUUGGUGGGGUAGUGGCUUACCAAGGCUUUGACGGGUAGCCGGCCUGAGAGGGUGACCGGCCACAUUGGGACUACGAUACGGCCCAGUAUCGUACGGGAGGCAACAGUGGAGAGUAUUGCACAGUGGGCGGAAGCCUGAUGCAGCAACGCCGCGUGCGGGAUGACGGCCUUCGGGUUGUAAACCGCUGUCGCCUGUGACGAAGCGUGAGUGACGGUAAUGGGUAAAGAAGCACCGGCUAACUACGUG
Molecule: ribosomal RNA, 468 nt
Filed under: uncultured bacterium
Lineage: Bacteria
Description: partial 16S ribosomal RNA
Rfam family: Bacterial small subunit ribosomal RNA
Source: RNAcentral